RNAcentral lists this long non-coding RNA (1706 nucleotides) under Homo sapiens (human). Its description in RNAcentral is "HSALNT0362081". The record is from RNAcentral. Lineage: Eukaryota; Metazoa; Chordata; Mammalia; Primates; Hominidae.
GUGAGUCAAGGGGAAUGGAGUGAGAAAAAUAUAAAAUAAAUGAAGGUUCUCAGCUUUAUACAUAUUUUUUUUUCUCCUGGGUCAUUUUAAAUGCUACCUUGGUAAUGAUCUUCAUUUAAUUUAUUCUUCAGAUCCUCUGUGCUUGAAAAUACAGAGAUGAUAUGAAAAAAAAAGUCACCAUCUUUGUAAGAAUCUUACUGAAUAAGAAAGAUCUUUUUUACAAAUUAAACUGCUGAAGAGAUUUCAACUGGGUUUGGAAUCCAGAUCAACUCAAUCUCUGGCAGAAUAUUUUCAGGAAAAAAAAAAACCCUGGAACAUUUGAGAAUUACAGUUCUGUACCUCUGCAAAGAUUUGUAUAUUCUUCCAUUGGUGGGUGAGGGGGCAGGAGGAAAUUCUCUGGGUAGGCUUACAAAAACAAGAUUUUUAAGCGCUUCUGAUGAUUCUGAGCUACAUUUCUGGACUGGAAUUUGAGUGUUUACGUCGCUGUUUCUUGGAUAAUUAAAGAGGGCAGCAAAGGACCAUAAGCAAUUCUCCAAUGGUGAAGAUCGACCCCAGUCAUGUAAAAACACGAGGCAACACAUUUCACUUUUGCUUAAGAAGGAUCUUGCAGAAAGUGAAGAAGAGCAGGAAUAGAGAAGACAUUUGAAUGACGACUGAUGUUCUCUUCUUUGGCCUGAGGUUUUAGAACACAUUCACUGCCUGAUCACUGUGGCCCAGAAGCCAUGGCCUCUGCUGAGAGAUAGGGACCCCAUGUUCCCUCUACACAUCUUCUUCCCCAAAGCCUCUCUGAGGCUCCUAUGUUCAAAGAAACAGUCCUCUGGCAAUGGCCUGGUCCUUUCUGCCAUACCAAAGAAAGUUGUUUUUUGUUUUGAGCAAGAGAUCACUUCUGAUUUUCCUACCUUUGACAUGGACCAGACUAAUUGACAAAUUCUAGAAGGACAGACACUUCCAAACGUCUCUUGACAUACUGGCUUCACAAAGGUUAGGAAAGCUGUUAUGGGGAGGACGGAGCCUUUCUCCUCUUCCUGAGAACGUUUGAAGAAGAAAGGGGCUACUGAGAAGUCUGGUAGAUUCAGCAGCUAGUAAAUAUCGUGUCUAAAUGGGCAUCUUUUAUUAAACUCUGAGGCAGGGUUGGUGUGUUAGGCCAUUCUUUCUUGCUAUAAAGAAAUAUCUGAGACUGGGUAACUUAUAAAGAACAGAGGUUUAAUUGGCUCAUGGUUCUGCAGGCUGCACAGAAAGCAUAAUGACAUCUUCUUCUGGCUAGGCCUCUGGAAGCUUCCAAUGAUGGUGGAAGGCGAAGAGGGAACUUGCGCAUCACAUGGCAAAAGCAGGAGCAAGAGAGAGGCGAGGAGGUGCCGCACACUUUUAAAAGACCAGAUCUCAUGAAAACUCACUAUUGUGAGGACAGCACCAAGAGGAUCGUGCUAAAUUAUUCAAGAGAAAUCCUCCCCCAUGAUCCAGUCACCUCCCACCAGGCCCCACCUCCAACAUUGGGGAUUACAUUUCAACAUGAGAUUUGGAUGGAAACACAUUCAAGCUUUAUCAGCCCAGCUCCGGGAGUUCUUAAACUCAUAAGAAUCUAUGAGCUCCCAGAUUUAUGGGCCUUGAAAUAGACUUUAUUCUCCACUACCAUUUUUCGUUUGUAAUUUACAAGUGUCUUAUGGGAAGCGACAUUGAGGGUAUGUAAGUAUCCUGUUUCUCAUCUA